RNAcentral lists this long non-coding RNA (9770 nucleotides) under Sorghum bicolor (sorghum). RNAcentral describes it as "long non-coding RNA (SBIC_LNC013190)". The record is from RNAcentral. Lineage: Eukaryota; Viridiplantae; Streptophyta; Magnoliopsida; Poales; Poaceae.
CAUUGGUUGCUAAGCCUAAAAAGAAAUAUUAUUUAGAGAAGAGGUUUUCCUUCGAGGGCACCCCUCAAUCUCUAUGAUAAUUUCUUGUCUCCUCCAGGGGCCAGAGGGGUCUCCUUAUAUAGUCCUCCCCUUCUAUGUGUUUUUGGGUCGGUAGGCGAUGUGGUACUACGUUAUUCUGGAUCCAAUAGGUCUGUGGAGAUCUCCCGAGAGAAAGAGUCCUGAUUGGGCUCGGCAGGUGGGCGGGCGCCCAGGUCCUGGCCCCGUUUCGCCUCCGCUUCGGUCUCGUGGCUUCUGGAGUCUUCUAGAUGGUAGAAAAUUGCGCGGUGCGUUGAUAUCUCUAUGUAAUCCUGACAUGUGGGCCUUUCUUCCUUAUUUCCUGAUAACCCUCUGCAGAAAUAGACAAACACCAAAACUCGUGGAAUUCUGUCAGAUAAAACCCUAAGUCUAGAUGUUGAUUUCAUUUGGAUCCUUUUCUUUGUUUAUUUGAUAAUUAAAUUUGAUACUUAAGGACCGUCAACAAACUCCCCCAAGCUUACCUCUUACUCGUCCCUGAGCAAGGAUGAACUCAAGAGUUUCUGCAGUGGUUUCAUUUCUUAAAGGUACACACGCAUUCAAGCAAGAUCUCAUCUCUGAGUUAGAAUAAACUGUUAAGACUUAAAACUUACUCAUUUUACCUUUCACCAUGGGGCUUGUAACCAUCACUUGUGUCUUGAGCAGUUAAAAGAUAGAACGGUCAAGUCAAGCGCCAUGUCUCUUGUUCUUUGAUCAGCUAUAGCUCUGCGGUUUUUGCAAAUUUUCAAAUAAAACUCAGAGAUUCCUUAUAUGAUUCUCUCAAAUCUCUCUUUUGUGGUAUUUCUGGAUCCUUACCAAGGCAGUGAUAAUAUACGCCUUCUCUCAAAGUAUGUAGUAUUUGUGGUAUGAGGCAUAGUGAUAUUGCCUUCUCUCUCACCCUACUCUAAUAAGGUUUUGAUAUCUGGAGCUCAUAGGUGGGAGACAGCUAAUACAUACCUACAAGACAUUUAUUGCAUAGUCAAACCAUGGAUCCAGAGAAACAAGUCAAUAAGUCAAAUCAAGAUGUGCAUGUGUGACGAGUGAAUGGUGUAUGGUGAUGAUGGUGAUAACAAUGGUGAAAGUCUAAUUCUACUUUUGCUCUUUUAAGGGGAUACAUACCUUUCUUGCACUUGAAGCUUUUUGAGGAGAAUGAGAUGCUCAUAUUUUCUUUUUCUUUUCUCUCAGGUGGGUAUCUUGUACCCCUAAUUCUACUGUCGGACACUUGUCCAUUUUUACCUCUCGUCUCACUUUUUUUUCUUUUUCUUCGAGGUUCCGGGCACUUGCCCCUUUUUAUUUCCUCGUUUUUUUCUUCUUCUUUUUUUUACUAGAGCACUCAUCUCCUGAAAUAAUAUAGCAAGUGGUAGUAACCAAGAUAACUUGAGCAUUUAUUUCACAGGGAAUAACAGGGAUAGGAAAAUGUUUUUGGCUAUUCUCUCCCGGAUUAGGAGUAGAAUAAUUUUGGGUGAAUCUGGAGAUGGAAAUGAGUGGAUGUAUGUGGAUGCGUACUUCCAGAAUAGAAGUAGCAUGUAUGAGUGAACGUGCAAGUGAAUCUUGAUUUUAACCACAUGACAAGCUCCUAAGGGUCUACACAGCUUGACCACACUCAAUGCUCAUAAGCAGUAAAAAGUAAAUAUAUGGCUCAAAGUCUAGCAAGCAUGUAUAUAUGGCUGUGGUAGGAAUUUAAACUCUCAUCAUAUAGGAACUCAUCAUGUGUUAUUUUAAAGAUUUUCAAAGAUAAAAUUCUCCAGAAUUCUAGCGUCUCUAGGAACAGAUAAACAGCAGCUCAACCUUCCCAUAUCAUAUCCAUUAACAACUUAGACUUUAGAUCAAGUACUCUUCCCACAAGUUCAGGUUUAGAGCAGGUAUAAAUUAUAACAGUUAUGCCUAAACUUGAGAGAGAUUUCAAUUUUAAGAACUAGUCAUGGCAGAGCAACUAUUCAUCAUUUCCAUGUGAGAGCUUAUCAUGAGGGUUGAUAGCAAACUUUAUUUAUUUGUUUAUUUAGCAAACUAAGCAAAGAUAUAUAUAUAUAUAUAUAUAAAAGCACAAAAUCUUUAUUUGGGUUUUCAUGAUUAUGCAUCUCUUAUUAUUUGAGUAAAGUAUAAACGCGAGUAGAAACGCUUAGCUGGAUAAAUGGGGGUGCUCUCCCCCAAGCUGGAUUUUGACGUAAUUUCUUCUGAUGUAGCUAGCAGGUGGUGGAGGUGUAUUUGAAAGUCGGCAGCACCCUGACAGCGAUUAGGAUGUCCUCCGUCUGCUAGUCUUCUUUGAUCCUUGAAUUCUGUGGAGCUCAAAUAGACAACAAAGCUUUGUGGAACUAGUUAAGUGUUAGCAUAAAUAUCUAGCCUUUAUCAUGUUGAGCUUCCUUAAUAAAUGUUAUACUCUUUGGUAGGAUCAUAAAUUUAUUUUUAUAUUUUCAUUUUUGUAGGACAGGAAUAUAUUUAUUUUAUUUCUAUGCCACCAUAGUGAAUGUACUUAUGGGUUUUAUACCAUGAGCAUACUCACAUGGGGCUUACUAUUUUUAACAUUUUUAUUUUCUUCUCAAGAUGAUAUGAACCUGAUUAACUAAGCAAACUAUUUUAAAUAAUUGAAGGAAAAAGAUAACUACCAAGUUUACCUCUUGGCAAGACGUUCUGUGUUUUUAAGUCCUCCGAACGGGACUCUUUGUGUUUUCAAUCGUCCUGGGAUUCGCUAGGUGGCGUAGUCGGUGGUUCCGGCGGCGCCUCCUCUUCGUGUGUAACUAUCUUCUCUCUCCACACCUGACUCGGUGCUACGGUCUUUUCAGGACAGUUCUGUUCAAGCUGUAUGUCUUCAGUCCUUAUCACUUCUCCUUCGUAGUCUACCCAUCCGUCCUUGAUGAUUUGCCUCCUCUGGUUGCGGUUGCGUUGUCUUCUUCUUAUCCUGACCUGCUUAGAAUCUUCAACUAUAUAGUUAAGGUCAGUAAAAUAGCUACGUACCUUCUCAGAGGGGAAGUAUAUGUGGACUUCUCCGGUUCCAAUGUAGAUGAUUGCUUUGAUAGUGUUGAGGAAUGGUCUUCUAAGGAUAGUGGGUGGAUCGUACUCGUCUUCUCCCAUGUCAAUGACCUGAAAAUCAUCUGGAGCUGUAUGUUGGUUGUAGGGGCAUGGUUCCAUGCAGGAGCUGAUAAGUGACUGCGGCCAUUAUGUUGUCGUCAGAUCCGGUGUCGUAGAGUGUCUUCUAAAAAGAGUAUUUGUUCAUUGUGCACUCAAUGCUUGGAACACCAGGGUCGUCCUUCUUGAUCAAGAAAGGUGACUUGAGUCGACGAUCUUGACCUCCUUGAGUUGCAGUGACCAUCUUAGUUGACUCGGUCCACAUUUGCUUGUUCCUGUUCCUCCUGUUGGUCCUCUUCCUUGGUUCAUGUCGGGAUUGCUCUGAAGUUUGUGUAGUCUUGUUCUCGAAGGAAAGUCUCCUUCUUCCCCUUGAUGUAGGAACUGAUCUUGGCAGCAUUAGCGUAGAUGACAGCUCUGGUGUUUAGGAAUGGCCUCCCUAAGAUGAUGGGUGCCCUCUCCUCAGUACCAGUCUCUAUCACCACGAAGUUUGCUGGAGCGUACAAGGUACCAACUCAGACAUAGAGGUUCUUCAAUAUUUCCUUUGGGAAACUAAGUGUCUGAUUUCCAUUGUGUUUGUGCUCGUAGAUCCAGGUCCUUCACUUGGUGGAGUCUGGGAGUUGUAAAACUCCUCCAUGUUUUGCUUGAAGUGUACCUGUUCAUAGAGACAAGGCAGAGAUCAAGUGCAUGGGCCCUAUUGGUGGAAAACACCAACAGAACCAAAAGUGUAUUUGUUCUUCUCUAACCUUAAGCAUAGUGAGCAAGACAAAGUUGAUAGAUAAUAAGAUCAUGAGUGUAGUAUUUAAAACAUUUGUUAGAUCAGAUGGCUCAACCUAAUGGAAAGAUAAUCUAUCUAUAUUUAUUUUUUGUUUAUAUCUUCCAAAGAUUGAAUGUGCAGCAUUUUAGCUUAUAUGAUUAGGAGUGUGGGAUCACGAAGGUAGUACUAAGAACAAAGAUUAAAGGACUAAACAUGUUGAAUUAAUUGAGUUGGUUAAUCUGGAGUUAUAAAUCAUACAUAUUUGUCUCUUUAUUUAUGUGAAUGCUAGAACCAAGGAGAAGCUUAUGAAAGUGAUAGUCGCGUACCUUAAGAUGUUACUUGAAGAUUGAUGGUAUAGUAUCACCUUGUGGAAGCUUUCCUUUCUUAGCGGUUGUGCAUCGUGUUUGUGGCACUCUUCAUGGAUCAUCACUUUAUGAUGAAUAAGCUAUGUCUUCCUUGUGCAAGUCGUUAAAUUUCAUGUGUCUCCUUUGUCUCCAAUGAGCUUGUAGCUCAGGACUUCCUAGGUUAAUAUUGAAAGUUUUCCUACAGGGGUUAGUCCGACAAAAUAUACCAAUGCCUACUCAAGCAGUUUUUAGUUCAGUAACCAAACUAGACUCCAUGUCUAAUCAGAUUAAGGAAGGCUAUUUAACCUAAGCACCAUGCUUAAUUUAAAUGCCAAUGGAAGUAUGUCGAGUACUUCCAAACCAACACUUGCUAGUAAAUAGAUAAAGGUAGCAUGACAGCAUUUAUAGAGAUCUACUUAAGUGGAGAUGAAGUAGUGUGAUUAGUACUUAACAAAUUGAGCAUCUCUCAAAGGUAGGGACAACCAACAUAGCAACAUGGCUAAGGAUGUUUUUAUGUAAAGUACUCCCCCAAGCUUGAAUUUUGCGAAAUUCAAGUUUGGAUGAACUUAAUUCAAUGUUGCAUGAUGAUUGGUUGGACAUACCUUGUGCUUGUCAUUCAUCCGAUCUUCUUGCUCCAAUCCUAGAAAGGUUAGUGGCAAGAAUACCCGAAGGAAUAUUUCUACAAUUAUCUUUAUAUGCUCAAUACACAAGGCAAUGUUGCAAAUAAUCAGAAGUGCUUGUUUUAGGACACUAAGCUUGUCCUCGGGAAACCAUCAAUUGACUCAACGAGAUCUGCAAUAUUUAUUAUAGACAUAUGCAUCGACAACCGCUCUUUUAAAGUUUUUAUAAAUAGAAAAGAAGAGAGGUUUGGAGAUCUCAAAUGUGGUAAUGUUGGAGAGACCAAUUGAUUGGGGAGAUGUUUUAUAUGAGCAAGGACUUGGUAAGGUAUUUAUGAAAUAACUUCCAUGCUCACUGUUGUUUCUCUCAUUCUCAAACUCCAAGGAUGAUUCUUCAUGAAUGCUUAAAAUUCCUCUAGGAUUGUCUCUCAGGUUUGUUUUAUCUAUCCAUUCAAUGGUGAUAGCACAUGGAUUUUUAAUGCCCUCUAGCCAUUGAUGUUGCUCUUCUCGAUCCUCCUUCUUAUUCAUGGGAUGUCUAGAGAGAUUCAUAGGAUUAUCGGGAGGUUCAAGAGAAAAAGCAUAGUAGAAAUUAUUAAGCUCAAGGAUGGGUUGGAUAGCCGAAUCAUGGGAUUGGAAUGUUUGGAAAUCGGCUAUUGAAACUUCCUUUCCUCGUCUGGGAGAUUAUUCUAUGAAGACUAGUACAAGAAGGAUGUCCACGAAUGAAGACAUACCUUCCUUUACUAAUAGAUAAAGAAAGAAGGACUCUACCAAAGGUUAUAUGAUUAAGACCAAUGUCAAAAUAUUUAGGAAAAACAUGGUCUUGUAGGGCUAGGUCUAAACCAGAAUUUAUAGAAAGAUUAACAGAUUCCCUAGGUGUAGCUAAAAGUGCAUUAUCUUCUUGAUUAAAAGAUAGGACCUCGGCUAUAGAAAAGGGUUGGUUUUGACCUAUUGCAAUCAACUCCGGACCAGAUCAUAAUUAGGGGCAGGACGUGUUGACUCCCAUGGUCUAUGGCUGGUCUCCGAAGGUGCAAAGAAUUUAAUAAUAGGUAUGGAAUUUGAGUUAUCCAUAAAGAUAAAAAUAAAAAGAUAAAAGAAUAAAAGUAUAAAAGUAUAAUACAAGAUAAUAGCAAGACUCAAAGUUAUCUCAGCAAACCGUCUUUCUCCCCGGCAACGGCGCCAGAAAUGCUUGUUGAUAUUUGGUAACGCAAUUAGAAAAUGAUCCGCAAGCGCACGGAUAUCGGUGAGCAUUUCACCCGGGAGGUUAUCUAGAGUUAUCGUAUUUAUAUUUUUACCACUGGGAGAAAGGGUGCAUCUGACUAACCAAAUCUAUUGCUACUAUCCCUUUAGGCUACCAAGAAUGUGUCUCGAUGUGAGUGAUGUAUAGAGAAGACUGCAACCGUAGUCUCGUUCUAACCUUGGUAAGGAUGAUCUACUGUUCUAUUGGGGAAGCUUACGGAAUCUAGACACCACAAAGGAUGUUCGACCCGCACCUAUAAACCCUACCCGUCCUGCUAACAAGAUAUGGGAUACAAAGGUAACUCGGAAAUGUCACGUUCCUCGCUACUACCACGGUCCAGCUAGUCAGGGGAUAUCUAUGAGUACCCUAGCCUAAACACCACAUUUACGCUAGCAAGUGAUUACUCUAACACUCAACCGGAAGAGGAUUAAAGUAAACUCAUAAACCAAAGAACAAUAAAACAAGAACUUACUAGAAUUAGAAGUCGAAUUACUGAAGAAUCUUAGAAGCAAGCCUCGGGUUAGGAGACUUCCCGCAGGUACAACUCGGAGUAGACACCGACAGGCCGGCCUUCCUCCGAUCCACACCUCCACUCUAUCUCUCUCAAUCUAGUAGAAACUAGAAGAUCUAUUUCUACCUUACAUUGGUUGCUAAGCCUAAAAAGAAAUAUUAUUUAGAGAAGAGGUUUUCCUUCGAGGGCACCCCGCAAUCUCUAUGAUAAUUUCUUGUCUCCUCCAGGGGCCAGGGGGGUCUCCUUAUAUAGUCCUCCCCUUCUAUGCGUUUUUGGGUCGGUAGGCGAUGUGGUACUACGUUAUUCUGGAUCCAAUAGGUCGGUGGAGAUCUCCCGAGAGAAAGAGUCCUGAUUGGGCUCGGCAGGUGGGCGGGCGCCCAGGUCCUGGCCCCGUUUCGCCUCCGCUUCGGUCUCGUAGCUUUUGGAGUCUUCUAGAUGGUAGAAAAUUGCGCGGUGCGUUGAUAUCUCUAUGUAAUCCUGACAUGUGGGCCUUUCUUCCUUAUUUCCUGAUAACCCUCUGCAGAAAUAGACAAACACCAAAACUCGUGGAAUUCUGUCAGAUAAAACCCUAAGUCUAGAUGUUGAUUUCAUUUGGAUCCUUUUCUUUGUUUAUUUGAUAAUUAAAUUUGAUACUUAAGGACCGUCAACAAACUCCCCCAAGCUUACCUCUUACUCGUCCCUGAGCAAGGAUGAACUCAAGAGUUUCUGCAGUGGUUUCAUUUCUUAAAGGUACACACGCAUUCAAGCAAGAUCUCAUCUCUGAGUUAGAAUAAACUAUUAAGACUUAAAACUUACUCAUUUUACCUUUCACCAUGGGGCUUGUAACCAUCACUUGUGUCUUGAGCAGUUAAAAGAUAGAACGGUCAAGUCAAGCGCCAUGUCUCUUGUUCUUUGAUCAGUUAUAGCUCUCGGGUUUUUGCAAAUUUUCAAAUAAAACUCAGAGAUUCCUUAUAUGAUUCUCUCAAAUCUCUCUUUUGUGGUAUUUCUGGAUCCUUACCAAGGCAGUGAUAAUAUACGCCUUCUCUCAAAGUAUGUAGUAUUUGUGGUAUGAGGCAUAGUGAUAUUGCCUUCUCUCUCACCCUACUCUAAUAAGGUUUUGAUAUCUGGAGCUCAUAGGUGGGAGACAGCUAAUACAUACCUACAAGACAUUUAUUGCAUAGUCAAACCAUGGAUCCAGAGAAACAAGUCAAUAAGUCAAAUCAAGAUGUGCAUGUGUGGCGAGUGAAUGGUGUAUGGUGAUGAUGGUGAUAACAAUGGUGAAAGUCUAAUUCUACUUUUGCUCUUUUAAGGGGAUACAUACCUUUCUUGCACUUGAAGCUUUUUGAGGAGAAUGAGAUGCUCAUAUUUUCUUUUUCUUUUCUCUCAGGUGGGUAUCUUGUACCCCUAAUUCUACUGUCGGACACUUGUCCAUUUUUACCUCUCGUCUCACUUUUUUUUCUUUUUCUUCGAGGUUCCGGGCACUUGCCCCUUUUUAUUUCCUCGUUUUUUUUCUUCUUCUUUUUUUUACUAGAGCACUCAUCUCCUGAAAUAAUAUAGCAAGUGGUAGUAACCAAGAUAACUUGAGCAUUUAUUUCACAGGGAAUAACAGGGAUAGGAAAAUGUUUUUGGCUAUUCUCUCCCGGAUUAGGAGUAGAAUAAUUUUGGGUGAAUCUGGAGAUGGAAAUGAGUGGAUGUAUGUGGAUGCGUACUUCCAGAAUAGAAGUAGCAUGUAUGAGUGAAAGAGUCCUGAUUGGGCUCGGCAGGUGGGCGGGCGCCCAAGGAAACUGGGCGGGCGGCCACGUCCUGGCCCCGUUUCGCCUCCGCUUCGGUCUCGUGGCUUCUGGAGUCUUCUAGAUGGUAGAAAAUUGCGCGGUGCGUUGAUAUCUCUAUGUAAUCCUGACAUGUGGGCCUUUCUUCCUUAUUUCCUGAUAACCCCCUGCAGAAAUAGACAAACACCAAAACUCGUGGAAUUCUGUCACAUAAAACCCUAAGUCUAGAUGUUGAUUUCAUUUGGAUCCUUUUCUUUGUUUAUUUGAUAAUUAAAUUUGAUACUUAAGGACCGUCAACAAGAAGAUCAUAUUUCAAUUGGUAUUGGUGGAUAAUCUUUCAACCUGUCAUAUCAAGAAAUAUGUCUUCAAUUGGUAUCUCAAAAUGACAACAAGAGCUGGCAAUGGACUUUCCACUGAAAUCAAGCACAAGUUUAUGAUAUCUCCUUCAAGAUGAUGAUCAAGAGAGAUGGGCACAAAUGAAGUCUUUUUGCAUUUUGCCAACCCCAUCAAAGCACCAAAUUCAUAAUAUCAUGAUCAUAGUGGAGAUUAUGAGGUUUAGAACAAAGGUAUAUCGCUCCAUGAACUCUUGUAUUACCUUUAUGUAUCUAGGCCCUUACAUGCUAGUAUGUGCAUGUGAAUGCAAUAUUUGAGCCACACCAUGAGUUUCUUCUUAUGGUGACGAUUAGAGAAUGACUUAGAUAUUUGGUUGAUACCUCUGUGGUGAUAAAGUGAGUUUGUCUCAUGUUAAAACUAUCAUCUAAGUGAGGUAUGAGCUAAAUAUGCUAACUUCUCAAGAAUCUUGACUUAAGGUAUUGCAUACUUGGUUUGGUAGAAAACUUAGGAGAGAAAUCCUAUAUGCUAAACUUUUACCUACCUCUUGCCCUCAUUUGUCUACCAUUAUUUCUUCCUUUCGGUUGAGAGAUCCUUUUUGGCGAUUAAUGCCAAAGGGGGGGAAAUAUUGGGAGAGAGUGUAAGGGAGGAGAGAUUGAUAUGUGGAUUGAAAGGGGUAAAGGAGAGGCAUAUAAGAUUUUUCAAAUUUUUGUGUGGUGUGUGCAAGGAUAGUUUAUGCUCUUGAUAAGGACUUUUUAUGUUAGUGUGAAAUGUUCAUGCCUUGACUGGUGGUUGCCUUUACUUCUGGGCUGUUUUGGCAAGAGCGGCAAUGUCGCCCUCUUGGUGCGAUAGUGCCGCCCUCUGCUGGCCAGCAAACUUUGAGUGCAUGACCUGCCAUGAGCACCACGUUUAUCAUGUUGACACCUUGCACCCCACGGAUGCUAAGAUAUAGAAGACUUCACACACUUCAUCUUGAAUACGUGCAUUUGGCAUUUGAGGCCAAAAUUAGAAAUUCCAUUCUAUGCACAUAUUUAAAGGGAGCUCACUAUGUCAUAGAAUUCAAAAUCUUAAUAUUUAUCAAUCUCUUGUAAGCUUUAAUUGUGUUGUCAUCAAUC